GGAUCAUUACACAAUACAAUAUGAAGGCCCGUAACACGGCUGGAUUAUUUUAUUACCCUUGUCUUUUGCGCACUUGUUGUUUCCUGGGCGGGUUUCGCCCGCCACCAGGACCACACCAUAAACCUUUUUUAUGCAGUUGCAAUCAGCGUCAGUACAACAAAUGUAAAUCAUUUACAACUUUCAACAACGGAUCUCUUGGUUCUGGCAUCGAUGAAGAACGCAGCGAAAUGCGAUACGUAGUGUGAAUUGCAGAAUUCAGUGAAUCAUCGAAUCUUUGAACGCACAUUGCGCCCUUUGGUAUUCCAAAGGGCAUGCCUGUUCGAGCGUCAUUUGUACCCUCAAGCUUUGCUUGGUGUUGGGCGUUUUUUUGUCUUUGGUUAUGCCAAAGACUCGCCUUAAAACGAUUGGCAGCCGGCCUCCUGGUUUCGCAGCGCAGCACAUUUUUGCGCUUGCAAUCAGCAAUAGAGGGCGGCACUCCAUCAAGACACUUUUUUUCACGUUUGACCUCGGAUCAGGUAGGGAUACCCGCUGAACUUAAGC
RNAcentral lists this unclassified non-coding RNA (540 nucleotides) under Curvularia geniculata. RNAcentral's name for it is "partial ITS1, 5.8S rRNA, ITS2". The stretch from base 176 to 329 matches the Rfam family "5.8S ribosomal RNA". The record is from RNAcentral. Lineage: Eukaryota; Fungi; Ascomycota; Dothideomycetes; Pleosporales; Pleosporaceae.